This 103-nucleotide ribosomal RNA is filed under the name Periophthalmus magnuspinnatus. Lineage: Eukaryota; Metazoa; Chordata; Actinopteri; Gobiiformes; Gobiidae. The record is from RNAcentral.
CCACAUUGUGAAUGCCCACAAUCACCGGGUCUCUGAAGCUAAGCAGGGUUGGGCCUGGUUAGUACCUGGAUGGGAGACCAGCACAGUGGGGCAGCAGUGUAGA